UUAUUUCAUAUACAUCAUAUCAUUAACGUCACUACAAUAUAUUUUUCUAUAAAAAUUCCAAGACUUGCUAUCCAAACGGGAACUUAGUUUCUUCAUAUAUUUAAAAGCUAUUCAAUUUCCUGAAAAUUGUUAUUUAACUGCGAACCCAAAAUUAGGCCUAAGCAAGACAACAUAUGGGCUCAAAGAGCAGUGCGAAUAUACGAUCCCUAGGCUCAGAAUUUUGAUGGCCAUGGCCAUCUCCAUGCUGGUACAUGC
This 255-nucleotide long non-coding RNA is filed under the name Coffea arabica (coffee). RNAcentral's name for it is "long non-coding RNA (CARA_LNC007236)". The record is from RNAcentral. Lineage: Eukaryota; Viridiplantae; Streptophyta; Magnoliopsida; Gentianales; Rubiaceae.